Molecule: long non-coding RNA, 607 nt
Organism: Acanthochromis polyacanthus (spiny chromis)
Lineage: Eukaryota; Metazoa; Chordata; Actinopteri; Pomacentridae
Exons: 4
Source: RefSeq, a predicted model, not a curated record
UCUGUUUUGCCAGCUGCAGCAUCCAGUGAUGGGCGAAGGACCACAGCCAUUUCAGGUUAUAUAAACCUCCCCUACACGUACUCCACAGUGCACACCCCUAUCAGCAAGCAUAUGUUUUCUCAUAGACAAACAGACUAUAGCAUUUCAAAUGUAUUUUUGUACUGACAGAAUUACAUUAUUACAACUUUAAAUUUGUCUUUUCCAGAUGUGAGAGAUGCAUGGGGGGGGAAAAAAACCAUACGUCCUGCUCUCCAAAGUGGGUCCCUAUAAGAUAUUUUACCAUGAUAUCUUUAACACGGGUCCUCAAAUGGAGUUUGAGAGUGAGGUUAUAAAUGCAUAUCUCACAAAACUUGUGGAGAGGUAUAACCAAAACAACACCACAAGGGCAUUUGCCAUUGACACAUUUGAAAUGACACGGAUUUGGGAGGGGAAGAAACCUAAAAUUAAGAUCAUCCCACAGCAUUACGAAUUCAUUUUGGGCGUGGUUAAUCAGGCACAUCACUGGAUGCUGGUGGUAAUCUUACCAGCCAAAAAGAUGAGCCUGUUUCUGGACCCACUUGGGGAAAAAAAAAUGCGGCCAAUCAGUGCAAGGAUGUCACAAGGUAAU